AACGAACGCUGGCGGCAUGCCUAACACAUGCAAGUCGAACGAGACCUUCGGGUCUAGUUGCGCACGGGUGCGUAACGCGUGGGAACCUUCCCUUAGGUUCGGAAUAACUUCCCGAAAGGGGUGCUAAUACCGGAUAAUUUCUUCGGACCAAAGAUUUAUCGCCUUUGGAUGGGCCCGCGUUGGAUUAGCUAGUUGGUAGGGUAAAAGCCUACCAAGGCGAAGUUCCAUAGCUGGUCUGAGAAGAUGACCAGACACACUGGGACUGAGACACGGCCCAGACGCUCACGGAAGGAAGCAGUUGGGAAUAUUGGACGAUGGGCGAAAGCCUGAUCCAGCCAUGUCGCGUGAGUGAUGAAGGCGUUAGGGUUGUAAAGCUCUUUUAACCGGGAUGAUAAUGACAGUACCGGGAGAAUAAGCGCCGGCUAACUCCGUG
RNAcentral lists this ribosomal RNA (433 nucleotides) under uncultured bacterium. Its description in RNAcentral is "partial 16S ribosomal RNA". It matches the Rfam family "Bacterial small subunit ribosomal RNA", at positions 29 to 507 of the family's 1533-position model. The record is from RNAcentral.